AGUAACGCGUGGGAAUGUACCCUUCUCUACGGAAUAGCCUCGGGAAACUGAGAGUAAUACCGUAUACGCCCUUCGGGGGAAAGAUUUAUCGGAGAAGGAUCAGCCCGCGUAAGAUUAGAUAGUUGGUGGGGUAAUGGCCUACCAAGUCUACGAUCUUUAGCUGGUUUUAGAGGAUGAUCAGCAACACUGGGACUGAGACACGGCCCAGACUCCUACGGGAGGCAGCAGUGGGGAAUCUUGGACAAUGGGCGCAAGCCUGAUCCAGCCAUGCCGCGUGUGUGAUGAAGGCCUUAGGGUCGUAAAGCACUUUCGCUAGAGAUGAUAAUGACAGUAUCUAGUAAAGAAGUCCCGGCUAACUCCGUGCAAGCAGCCGCGGUAAUACGGAGGGGACUAGCGUUGUUCGGAAUUACUGGGCGUAAAGCGUACGUAGGCGGAUCAGAAAGUAUGGGGUGAAAUCCCAGGGCUCAACCCUGGAACUGCCUCAUAAACUCCUGGUCUAGAGUUCGAGAGAGGUGAGUGGAAUUCCGAGUGUAGAGGUGAAAUUCGUAGAUAUUCGGAGGAACACCAGUGGCGAAGGCGGCUCACUGGCUCGAUACUGACGCUGAGGUACGAAAGUGUGGGGAGCAAACAGGAUUAGAUACCCUGGUAGUCCACACCGUAAACGAUGAAUGCCAGUCGUCGGGUAGCAUGCUAUUCGGUGAC
This 702-nucleotide ribosomal RNA is filed under the name uncultured Alphaproteobacteria bacterium. Its description in RNAcentral is "bacterial SSU rRNA". It matches the Rfam family "Bacterial small subunit ribosomal RNA", at positions 109 to 847 of the family's 1533-position model. The record is from RNAcentral. Lineage: Bacteria; Pseudomonadati; Pseudomonadota; Alphaproteobacteria.